Molecule: ribosomal RNA, 356 nt
Filed under: uncultured bacterium
Lineage: Bacteria
Description: bacterial SSU rRNA
Rfam family: Bacterial small subunit ribosomal RNA
Source: RNAcentral
GUAGUUAAUAGCUGCAUUUAGUUUGACGUUAGCGACAGAAGAAGCACCGGCUAACUCCGUGCCAGCAGCCGCGGUAAGUACGGAGGGUGCGAGCGUUAAAUCGGAAUUUACUGGGCGUAAAGCGCAUGCAGGUUGGUUUGUUAAGUCAGAUGUGAAAGCCCCGGGGCUCAAACCUCGGAAUAGCAUUUUGAAACUGGCAGACUAGAGUACUGUAGGAGGGGGUAGAAUUUCAGGGUGUAGCGGUGAAAUGCGUAGAGAUCUGAAGGAAUACCGGUGGCGAAGGCCGGCCCCCUGGACAGAUACUGACACUCAGAUGCGAAAGCGUGGGGAGCAAACAGGAUUAGAUACCCUGGUAG